Alnus glutinosa is the source of this 812-nucleotide long non-coding RNA. RefSeq lists it as uncharacterized. The record is from RefSeq and is a predicted model, not a curated record. Lineage: Eukaryota; Viridiplantae; Streptophyta; Magnoliopsida; Fagales; Betulaceae. The transcript is spliced from 3 exons.
UGAGAUAGGGGGGAAGACUGUGAGAUCGGGAGAGAGGGGGGUUCGGUGGAUCCGUGAGUGGGUGACCCGACGGGGCGGUUUGUGGACCCGUGAGCCCAGGAGCUCCCAUCCUCCAUGAUCGGCAGCUGGGAUUGAAGUCCGGCGAUGGAGGAGCUCUAAUCGUGAAGCCGUGAAGUCCGUGCGACCCGCCAAACCCGCAACCUGAUCCUCUGAAGCCGUGAAUCAUUGAACCCGAGUGAGACCCGGUUCUCCAUGGCGGUUUUUCGGCGAUGUCCGGUGAUUCUAGCAGUGGUUUCCGGCGAGUUGUGACCUGUGUGCAGCAACCCAGACGAAGACCCGAAGCCCCUGACCCAUCAGACCCGAGAGGAAGACCCGGUUUUUAAGCAUUUUCCGGCGACUUUUCCGGCGGAAUCAGUGGCUUUUCCGGUGGAUUUUCUAUGAAAAUCCUUGGGGUAAAAGGUCGAUUCUGACGCUAAUGGAAAGUCCAGAUGUCAACAGUAAGACGAAGUCUUUUCCUUGUAAGGGCAUAGACCUUGCUGAGAGCGAUAGUUCGUGAUGAACCGGCCGGACCCUAGUUUUGUAUAGUAUGUUUUGUUUCUUUUAGAGAAUUCAAAGUGUUAUUAAUAGAAAGGUUUAAAAAUAGGAAGUUUUAAAUUUAUAUGUUGUAAAUGCACGCUUCCAUUUUAAAUAUUUACUUUUAGUACUCAAGUUCGCGUUUCCCUUAUUUCCCAAAACGGGGGCGUGACAAUUCCUAAGCAGAAUAUUGUAAGGUUUGCAACAUCCUAACUAUCUAAAUAAUUGAUUAAGGCAAA